This 250-nucleotide ribosomal RNA is filed under the name uncultured bacterium. RNAcentral's name for it is "partial 16S ribosomal RNA". It matches the Rfam family "Bacterial small subunit ribosomal RNA", at positions 524 to 773 of the family's 1533-position model. The record is from RNAcentral.
UACGUAGGGUGCAAGCGUUGUCCGGAUUUAUUGGGCGUAAAGAGCUCGUAGGCGGUUUGUCGCGUCGACUGUGAAAGCCCGGGGCUCAACCCCGGGUCUGCAGUCGAUACGGGCAGACUAGAGUUCGGUAGGGGAGACUGGAAUUCCUGGUGUAGCGGUGAAAUGCGCAGAUAUCAGGAGGAACACCGGUGGCGAAGGCGGGUCUCUGGGCCGAUACUGACGCUGAGGAGCGAAAGCGUGGGGAGCAAAC